GGAGCGCAAGCUCAGUGAAAACCUGGGAAAUCUAACUGGAAACACGAGAGAGCGCUUUAUUUGGCAGUGCUAAAAAAACCUGGGGACAAAUGGCUGAGCGGCGGUGGAAGUGCAGGCUGCACAAUCAAUCGGCAGAGAGCCGGAUAGAGGCUCCCUCCGCUGCCGGAUCGACAAUCGACAGCUGAGAGACUAUUUUUUGCAAUGGUUGACUAAAUAUGGUCAGGGAAGAGAGAGGCACAAGAGAGCCUGUUUGCCUGGGAGUGCAUGUUUCAAAUGCUUAGCUGCCUAUAAAGCCGUAACAGUUUUGCUCGUGCCCUCUAAGUGGGAAAUACGGUUAGUGUCUUCUGUAGUGUGCGUGUGGGAGCCCUGACCUCGCUAGCAGACUUGACCUCUGAAGAUGGAAAGUAGCUUCAACACAGACCUGCCUACAGUUAAGCCUGGAAACAUAACCUCAAGCAAGAAAAGAUGCAGUGCAAUAUCUAAGGAACUAGAAGAAACCAAUAUUUGCCGGGGGUGGGGGGAGACGAUCGCGCUUUUUUUGUGCCUUUUUCUUUUUUUUGGAAGCAACUCCAACUUUUGGGGGCUUGGUUUUGGUUUUUUGUUGGGUUUUUAUUUUACUUUUUGCCUGCGAUUAUUUUCAUCUGACAGUGGGCUAAGUUCACCUUCCCUUGGCUUCCUAGCAUCUAUCCUUGGAGUCUUAACUCUCAGUCCAGCAGACAUAAGGUAUAAUUUCUAUACAACAUCAUCCAUAUUUUAGCAUUCCAAGAAAGGCAGCAGGUGCCAAUUAGGCACCCGUCUUCAUGCUUUUUUUUUUUCUUUUAAGUUUUAUCUAUUUAAGGUGGUGAGGUACUGUAUGCACCGACAUUCACCCCCCCUUGCCUCCCCCUCCCAUGUAAUGAAGAGCUGAUUCAGCGAAUAGAGUGAGAGAGCACUCAGGAUGAGAUGGCUGCUGCUGAUGUGUCUCUAGGUCAUUACCUCUCUGCCAACUGCAAAUGCUGCAUGAUACUAAGCUUACAGGACACUAGAUGCAAACUGUACACCAGCUAGAAGACCUGGGAGGAAGCUGAAGUUUUUACAGUGGAAUACAACUACAAAUUCCAAGAAAACACAUUGCAAAGCUACCAGCGAUUCAACUCUCCACUCAAACGUGGUCACUCAGAGUGAACAGCAAGAGGCUGCAAAAAACUGGAAAAGCACUUCUAAAGUCCAUGCCAUCCCAGAACAAUGAACUAUAACCAGCUUUAAGCCACUGUGCAGGUAAAUUGCAUUGCAAAGUUCAGUUAGAGUAAGUUUUAUUUUCUACCAUCAGUUAAUCAUAACAUUGUUCUACCCAAGAAUUGUCAGCCUGAGUUUUACCUAAUGACAGCGAGGGAAAGCAGCAAAAUACUUUUCAGGUUCAUCUGACAGGUAGUCGAGCAACUCUGUGUACCUGCUCAGAGUACAUACUUCUUUAUGUACCCAUAUGAACAUACAAUGCUAUGGAAUGUAAAGAAGUAUGUAUUUUUGGCAGGCACGGAACGACCAGUAAGAGGAAACUAAACAGCUGUUGGAAGAAACAGGUUUCCCUCUUGUUUGAAUGACAUUCAUGUGACAAAUUAGCUUGCUAAGGGUCAGCUGGUAUUGCCAAAAUAACUCAUACUUGUUAGUAACAAAUCACAAAACAUUAAAUUAAGUGACUAUAACAGUGGGUAGGAAGAAUUGUUCACAGCUGAUAAACAGAACAUUAGUUGUAAACAAAGAAUUCAAAACAAGGCUGGAAAUGAACCCUUGAAAUGCACCAAUUAAGAUUGCAGCAUAGCUGCAAAAUUUAUCAUUAUCAGUACUCCUCACUUAAUAGAUCCUAAACUAAUCUUAAAAGCCUGAUUAUCAAAACAUAUCUCAUCAAAAACAAGCCAUUGUUCUACUAAUCACAGCCAGUUCUGUGUACUUCAGAUGGUAAUAUUUAAAUUUACAUCUACCAUAGAAUAUUUAAUCUACAGGUUGCAACUAAGACACAAGUAGAAACAGCUCAGAAAUUAAGGCUGUGAUUUAGAGAAACGGAUAGCCAAAAUAAUUGAGUAUGAUAACUUCUGCAAUUUAAUAUAUGAGACUUAAGUUAGAAUUUUCUCCAAAUCAGCACUUAUUACGCUCACUGAGCUCUUCGACACAAAGUGCAGUGUCAGGUUUAUGCACAGAAAGUGACAAUACAGAGAUUUCUAGGCCACAGUUGCUAGUCAGCGGAUUAAAGCUAUUGACAGAUUCCUAAAUGAAAACACAAAUGACAACUACAACCUAAAAGGUAAGUUAUCUUAAAUACUAUUUUCAAAUAAGCUGAAUUUAUUUUAAAUACAAAUUUAAGAAAAUUGGCCAUGAAAAUAUGACUUUGUAGCAUCCAGAAAAUUGUAAGAACUACAUAAGAAAUAGUCCUGCAACAGUUUCAAGUUCUAAAAGUGGUAUUAAUUAAAAUAUACCGGCAUAUACCAUCCCUAAGUAAAAGACACUCAACAUCAAAUUCAGGAACAAGGAAAAAUAUGAGUAAAGACCUCCUGGCUCAUCAAUCCAGCCAUUCCUAUUCAUGACAGCAGCCUUCUAAAGGCAGUUAUUAAAUAGGAUACGUCCAGAAUAAAUAGGCACAUUUGGCCUAGAUUAAAGAUUCUAACUGUACCCCUGUGCUUACUAAAAUGUCUAGGAGAAAAAAACCAAGAAAAAUAAAAAAGGAAAUGCACAAUUUUUAGAUGGAGAAUCUUAUUUUUAAAUACUCACAUAAUUCUCAAGUAUUUAAUAGUCUACAUAGCCUGCUAUUUUUAUUACCUAAAACUACAGAACAUACAUACAAGAAACAUUAUCUUAUCAGAACCAUUUUCUUAAGUAAAAUAUUAAUAUUUUGUUUAAAAGCUACUUCUGAGAAGAUAUUUUGGCAUGAAGACUACACUAUCUUAACAUCUAAAUUGAACCCUGGUUUACAGUAGGAAACAAAUCAAAUUGUAGUAGCUUUUCUAAAUGGAGCAAUGCUACUGAACUUGAUCAUGCUCAUAGAAGCAAUUUGGUAUUACUAACAGCUUUACAGAGGGGUUAAAUGCUAAGCAUUUACUUCUUUUCCUGAAGAGUUCCUGUCCUCACCACCAAUUGAUUUGGCUUCCACUAUAUAAUGAGACCAACUUUUUAACAGCUUAAAUUUAUUUUGAAAGGUUUUUGGUAGCAAUUCAUCAUGUUGUGUUCUUUCUUGUCUUCUUUGUAUAACAUUGCAAUGCUAUUCCGAAACAAAGUGACAGUUCAGAGUGAUACAAAAGUUAAAAUUAUAUGUUGACAUUGCUUCCUGCUAGUUCAUGUUAGCAUAUCUCUAAGAAUACAUAUCCAGUCACUCCAAAAUGUCACAUCCAUCACUUAGAUCAGCUGUUCAAUUUUAACUGAGCACACGUUGAACUUUGGGCAUCUGCUGACACAGUUGUAACUCAAACAUUUCAACUGUGUGACUGACAGGGAUAACAGAUGCUGACAUUAUCAAAUGCUACACGGCUUUUUUUCCACGGCCGUUUUUUGUCCCGAUAUGGCCAGUACAUGAAACUCUAUUGCCAUCCAAAAGCGCACUUGAGCAGCUGUAUCUGUAAAACAGUUCCUGUAUAACUGGUAAAAAUAGAAACUAAUUUUAUAGCCAUCUUAAUGCUUAAGUCCAAGUGACACACCUGCUAUGUUUCUAUUAGGAUACAUAGUGUUGGGAAUGUAUUUACAUAAAUCUUCUCACCAGCAUCAGACUACGCAACAAACAGAUGUAGACUAUACUUGACAUACUCAUUACUAGUGAAUGGCUUGAACUAAGGUUGCCCCCUACUUCCCACCGCAGUCAAAGCUCAAAAAAGAAUUCAGCAUACAACAUUAAAAAAAGCUAUGUGAGCAUGCACAAAUGUAUUAAAGAGCUUAAUUUCGAAGAAAUCAGAUGCAACCCCAGAUAAUUCUUUAAAAGCUGUAUUUUUCUGGCAUUAAACAUUUUUACAUGUACUAUCGGGGUAAAAAAAAAAAAAAAUCUAUCCUGCUAUAUUAUAUAAUCAUUCCUAAAAAGUUAAUACUAACCAGAGAUACAGUAAUGGAAUUGAAAGCACUUGACAUUUAUACUUGUGCUAACCAACUACAGCAUUAAAGCAGCUGCAAAAGGGAAACUGCCAAAAAAUGAAUGGGGGGAGUGUGGGGGGAAACCGAAACCUUCUUCCCCAGUAAAGUUUAACAUGAAGAGGCAAGGGAGCUCUACAUGAGUAGAAGUUGUAAGACUACAGUUUCUGGUCACUACUCUAGAAUUUCAUUAUUGCAGACAGAAAAAAGUUAAAACUGUAAUUAUAAUUUGAUUUGAGACUCAUCCAAAGAUCCUCAAGGAAAUACUCGAGAAAGGAACAAACCUGGAUACUGUACAGGCCUUGCUGGUAUACAGCUUUCCAUUCUGCCGUCUCCAAAUUAGUGAAGGAAUUUAAAUUUGCAUUGACUAGAAACAAAACAUGUAACACAGAAGAAAGCCACAUGUUUUUUGAACUGUUCAUGUACUUAAAAAUGCAUUACUGAAUUAUAACCUUCCUGCACUCCAAUGCUUUGCUAAAGCUGGUAAAAUGGAACCAAAUCACCUCUUCAAUGGAUUUGGUCCCCUUCAACCAGCUGUAGCUAUGCAUUGAUCACUACAGGAUUUCUCCUAUUUUUAAAACUGGACAUUAAGUCUGCUCAGAGUAAUUACGCAGUCCUCUCUACAGUUGAGUUCAACUAUUCUAGGCACCUUGAAGAUGGAAGGUAACAAGGAAUGUAGCAAAUUCUGCAUUUCAAAAUUUCAAGGUUUUAUUUGUAAAUAAACAGCUACUGGUGUUCAACAUUCUGUCCACAUUCAGUGGAAACUGAUCUCUUACAACAUUUAUAAAGACAACAGGUAAACAGUGAAAUAAACACAUUUUCCAAUGA
This is a long non-coding RNA of Harpia harpyja (harpy eagle), 4911 nucleotides long. RefSeq lists it as uncharacterized. The transcript is spliced from 2 exons. NCBI's taxonomy places the organism in Eukaryota, Metazoa, Chordata, Aves, Accipitriformes, Accipitridae. The record is from RefSeq and is a predicted model, not a curated record.